RNAcentral lists this ribosomal RNA (496 nucleotides) under fungal sp. E14908B. RNAcentral's name for it is "eukaryotic LSU rRNA". The stretch from base 142 to 295 matches the Rfam family "5.8S ribosomal RNA". Lineage: Eukaryota; Fungi. The record is from RNAcentral.
UACUGAGUACUACACUCUCUACCCUUUGGGAACUAUUAUACCUGUUGCUUCGGCGGCGCCCGCAAGGGUGCCCGCCGGUCUCAUCAGAAUCUCUGUUUUCGAACCCGACGAUACUUCUGAGUGUUCUUAGCGAACUGUCAAAACUUUUAACAACGGAUCUCUUGGCUCCAGCAUCGAUGAAGAACGCAGCGAAACGCGAUAUGUAAUGUGAAUUGCAGAAUUCAGUGAAUCAUCGAAUCUUUGAACGCACAUGGCGCCUUCCAGUAUCCUGGGAGGCAUGCCUGUCCGAGCGUCGUUUCAACCCUCGAGCCCCUGUGGCCCGGCGUUGGGGAUCUGCCACGGCAGGCCUCUAAAACCAGUGGCGGACCCGAAGGGCCCUCUCCUUUGCGCAGUAGCAUUCGCCUCGCAUUGGGAGUCCUCGGCGUCCUGCCUCUAAACCCCCCACAAGCCCGCUUCGGCGGCACCAAGGUUGACCUCGGAUCAGGUAGGAAUACCC